Molecule: long non-coding RNA, 765 nt
Organism: Prunus dulcis (almond)
Lineage: Eukaryota; Viridiplantae; Streptophyta; Magnoliopsida; Rosales; Rosaceae
Exons: 5
Source: RefSeq, a predicted model, not a curated record
CCAGAGCCAAAAAGCUCGCCUUUGGCCAUUCGCAACUCAGAUUGAAAAUCACAAAAGACGCUCUCUUUUUAUUUCACUCAGUUUCAACCCAUCCAUCUCCACCCUCUCCCCUUGUCAUCUCUAGCAAGAACUCAAGAGCCUUGGCUAUCUUUCAGAGCAUAGUCGUGUGGGUUCAUCUAUGUGAGGGUGCCAAAUCCAGAAAACCCUCAACAAAAUCAAAAUCACCAUCAGCUGCGGCUUCGUCGAAGAGACAAUCGGAUGCUCACCGAGAUCCGUCCCAACUCCGACCCCCCCGACUCAGAUGAGCUGACCCAGACGGAGUUCAACCCCAACACCACAUAGUCUCGCAGUUCCUGAGCUUGGUUAACGACUUCGUUGCCUUGUUCUGAGAUACUCAUCUGCGUCUGUUGGAGGAUUUCAGCGAGCAAGUCAAUCUUCAAGUUGGGAGCAGGAGUACUUCAGAGAGCAUUUCAUCGGUACUCUCCACCUCCAUACAAGAAAAGGUUGUUCUGCUGGCUUAGGGCCUUGACCAGUCACUCUCACAUAAUCGUUUUACACAAGUUCAAGCAAAGACAAAAAGAGUGCUGACGACGAUGAUUGGAGAUAUUUGGUCUCAUUUGAACUUUGCGAAUAUUUUUCUAAGGAUACAGAUAUUGAGAUGGCUGGGACGAGGGGAUUACAAGAUCAGCACCACAGAAUAGAAAAUGGAAUAAGUCUUCAUAUAUUGUUGAAUGUAGCAAUCAUAUUUUAGAGGUGAAUUGAGGA